AGGGCAUUAAUGGUGGAUUUGAAAUCAACAAUAGAUUAUUAUACCAUUUUGGGACUGCUCUUCUCAAUUUUUUGGAUUCACGGGUUUGGGAUGAUGAAAACGGGAGAUUCACGUAGGCUAGGGGAUAGCAGUGGUGGCAGAGACGGCCAGCUAUGGUGGUCAGAGCUUUCUGGUUUUGGUGAUGGUGGAGGAGAGAUGUGGAGAAGUGAGAGGAAAGGGAAGACUGGGUGAAGGUGGAGGAGAGAGGUGGAGAAGUGAGAGGAAAGGGCAGACUAUUUUGGGAAAGGAAGAUGGAGACUAAGUUUUUUUUGGAAAAUGGGAAGGCACGCGUG
This 332-nucleotide long non-coding RNA is filed under the name Capsicum annuum. Its description in RNAcentral is "long non-coding RNA (CANN_LNC018902)". The record is from RNAcentral. Lineage: Eukaryota; Viridiplantae; Streptophyta; Magnoliopsida; Solanales; Solanaceae.